AUUGAACGCUGGCGGAAUGCUUUACACAUGCAAGUCGAACGAUGAACCUUAGCUUGCUAAGGGGAUUAGUGGCGAACGGGUGAGUAAUGUAUCGGAACGUAUCCAAUAAUGGGGGAUAACUAGUCGAAAGAUUAGCUAAUACCGCAUACGUCCUACGGGAGAAAGCUAGGGACCUUCGGGCCUGGCGUUAAUGGAGCGGCCGAUAUCUGAUUAGCUAGUCGGUGGGGUAAAGGCUCACCAAGGCGACGAUCAGUAGCUGGUCAGAGAGGACGACCAGCCACACUGGAACUGAGACACGGUCCAGACUCCUACGGGAGGCAGCAGUGGGGAAUUUUGGACAAUGGGCGAAAGCCUGAUCCAGCCAUUCCGCGUGAGUGAAGAAGGCCUUCGGGUUGUAAAGCUCUUUCGCAAGGGAAGAAAACUUAAGCUCUAACAUAGCUUGAGGUUGACGGUACCUUGAUAAGAAGCACCGGCUAACUACGUGCCAGCCGCCGCGGUAA
RNAcentral lists this ribosomal RNA (500 nucleotides) under uncultured bacterium. RNAcentral's name for it is "partial 16S ribosomal RNA". It matches the Rfam family "Bacterial small subunit ribosomal RNA", at positions 30 to 523 of the family's 1533-position model. The record is from RNAcentral.